CGCUAUCACUCCUACGGGGAGGCAGCAGUAGGGAAUCUUCCACAAUGGGCGCAAGCCUGAUGGAGCAACACCGCGUGAGUGAAGAAGGGUUUCGGCUCGUAAAGCUCUGUUGUUAAAGAAGAACACGUAUGAGAAUAACUGUUCAUACGUUGACGGUAUUUAACCAGAAAGUCACGGCUAACUACGUGCCAGCAGCCGCGGUAAUACGUAGGUGGCAAGCGUUAUCCGGAUUUAUUGGGCGUAAAGAGAGUGCAGGCGGUUUUCUAAGUCUGAUGUGAAAGCCUUCGGCUUAACCGGAGAAGUGCAUCGGAAACUGGAUAACUUGAGUGCAGAAGAGGGUAGUGGAACUCCAUGUGUAGCGGUGGAAUGCGUAGAUAUAUGGAAGAACACCAGUGGCGAAGGCGGCUACCUGGUCUGCAACUGACGCUGAGACUCGAAAGCAUGGGUAGCGAACAGGAUUAGAUACCCUGGUAG
RNAcentral lists this ribosomal RNA (474 nucleotides) under uncultured bacterium. RNAcentral describes it as "bacterial SSU rRNA". It matches the Rfam family "Bacterial small subunit ribosomal RNA", at positions 328 to 793 of the family's 1533-position model. The record is from RNAcentral.